RNAcentral lists this ribosomal RNA (579 nucleotides) under Crassomicrodus sp. 2 EGC-2017. RNAcentral describes it as "eukaryotic LSU rRNA". It matches the Rfam family "Eukaryotic large subunit ribosomal RNA", at positions 386 to 736 of the family's 3401-position model. The record is from RNAcentral. Lineage: Eukaryota; Metazoa; Arthropoda; Insecta; Hymenoptera; Braconidae.
CCUGAGAAACCUAAAAGUUCGAAAGGAGAGAUUCAUCGUCAGCGUGUACUGUAUUCACGUGAGUAGCGAUGUGAGUUGCUUUUAAAAGGGUAAUACUUUUUAUUAGCACUUGCACGUUUUCAUGUUUUUUAUUGCAGUAUUUUUGCCGGCGUGCACUUCUCUCCUAGUAGGACGUCCCGACCCGUUGAGUCUUGGCCUACGGCACAGAUGGGAGCCUUUGAUACAUCGUAUCGAAGACCUCUGAUGUACUCCCGGCUGAAGUACUCGACGGUAUUUCAAUACAAUUGAUAUGGUACUAAGCCGCAUAUUUAUAUGCGUCUGGCCUGUCGCAAGUUUAUUAACAUAUUCUGUAUUAUCAUAGACUUAGUGCUAUGUAUAUGGUUAUGUUGGCUGUUUGCAUGACAGUGCCUUAGACUGGCUUUUAUACCUGUCAGGGACGCUUAGGCUUUGGGUACUCUCAGGACCCGUCUUGAAACACGGACCAAGGAGUCUAACAUGUACGCGAGUCAUUGGGUAUAUAUUUUCCUUCGGGAAUUUAUAUAAAACAAACCUAAAGGCGAAAUGAAAGUAAAGGUUGUU